AUGAUAAUUGACUGUAACAGACAGCUAGUCUUGACAACUUGCGCUUUUGCUAUUACAGAGUGACUGAUAAUUUAGGCUAACGUUAGUUCUAACAGUUAGCUGGCAUUCAAAGCACAUGUGCCUUCGAGUUAGCAGCUAGUACUUUGCAGAAAGCCUCCUUUUGCAAGAGUGAAAUAACAUUUCAGUCCGAUAAAAAUAAAGAAAUAAAUAAAAAGUUGUGCUAACACGAAAACGAAUAGCUGCUAAUGUUACCAGAAUUGUAAGCUGUUUAACGUUAUCAGUUUGCCAACGGUUACAUGUUUCCGUUUAAUAUUUUUAAUGGUCAAUAUUUUCAAAUUCCAUUUGCACUUUGGCUUAUGAUAUAUAUGAUAAUUGACUGUAACAGACAGUUAGUCUUGACUACUUGUGCUUUUGCUAUCACAGAGUGACUGAUAAUUUAGGCUAGGAAAUAAUUUGCUUUGCUUUUAAUUGUUUGCUUCUGAAUCUUUCAUUACUCACAGGUUUGUGCUGAAUUCUUCCGCAUCUACCAUAUUGACCUGAAGUCAACCAUUCCUGACAUCGCUGGACAAUCACACCCAGGGGUUGCUAAAGAUGUACAGAGCCAAAGCAAGACAGGGAAGGUGGAACAACUUGGAUGAACUUCUGGAACAACUUGAUGCCCAGGUAUCAGAAAUUCAUACAGGUUUGAAACAACAUGAGGGUGAGUAUAUGAUGACAGAACUUUCAUUUUUCGGUGGAGUAUCUCUUUAAGGGCUCUGUAGACUUGCUGCACUUGUUAGCUGAUUAUCCCCCGCAGAUUGUAAUCUUAAUGUAUUUCAGGUAACUAUUUCGUGAAGUUGGUUGAAAUGAUGCCCAAUGGUGAAAAGAGUAGGUGAUCCUAAACUGUUGGUAGAGUAUAUGUGUAACCUCUUUGUUAAUUAAGUGACUUAAUAAUGUCUUAUUGAUGGUCUUUUUGGCAUACCACAGAUCUAACUACUUAUAGAAGGUCUGUUGUUCUUCGUGGUCUUCCCCUGUACUUGAGAGAGCCAGCUUCAAUUUCAAAGACUAUUAAGGAUACUGAGGCACUGGGGCCACACACACAGGCCAUGAAAAUGGGAUUCCUGGAAGUGACUGACAGUUCUACCAACUCAGGACCAUAUCCCACAGUGGUCAAUGUGGCUGUAGUACUGGAGGAGGAAGUUGUCAUGGACAAUCUGGGAGACUUCACAAAUGCCCUCAUGAUGCUUGUUUCGGCACUGGUUGAAUACUUGUGUAAUAUUUUACUUGAGCCUAACAGGCAAGUUCAUAUGUUUUUAAAUAAAUACAUAAAAUGUUCUUUAUCAAAGCAUAGUGUGUAAUUUAUUUGAAAUAAUGAAAAAUAGACUAUUUUGACCAACAUUAAAUAUUUAAUACAACAUUUUAUUCAAUUUGAGUCUGCUUGUUGGCCCAACAAGCUAUGUUUAAUCAACAGAAAAUAUUUAAUUGACACAACAUUCUAUUUCAAGUUCAGUCUACAUGCAGGGGUAGUCAGCACAACACAAAAAAGUUGGUUUCCGCAACUUAAAUUGCGCCAACUAAAAAUUUU
Long non-coding RNA from Carassius carassius (crucian carp), 1564 nucleotides. RefSeq lists it as uncharacterized. The transcript has 3 exons. The record is from RefSeq and is a predicted model, not a curated record. NCBI's taxonomy places the organism in Eukaryota, Metazoa, Chordata, Actinopteri, Cypriniformes, Cyprinidae.